UGGGAUGGAAAUCUAUAUUGAUAGAUUUCAAGAUAUAAUUUGAUUAUAUCAAUCCCUAAUAAUAGACAAAAGAUGCUAGGAAGUUUCUCAUAUGAUGAUAAACUUCAAUUAGAAGGACGACUCUAGUGUGACUGGAAAGUUCCCCUUCUCAAAGGGAACGUACCCUUUGACUCCCAAAGAAAUAAUGCGUAAAUAAGAAUCCUUUAUGCAUACGCAUAAAGGUGAUUUAUGUAUUUCAUAUUGUAUGAAAAACAUUGAUAUGAGUUGUACCUAGAAUGGUACAAGACGAUAUCAGUGCAAGCCCAGGAUCAGAACCAUGGCAACUGUCAAGUGAGUCCUUAAGUAUUUAAAAAAUACUAAAGGAUAGAUUCCUCAAAGAAUGAGGAAGAAUUAGAGUAACGUAAUGGAAGCGUAAAUGUAUUAGAUUAUGAAUCUAAUCCAUCAUUGGAUGUUUCUUCAUUAUGAAUGAAGAGAUAAACGGAUAUCUCUUUAUUAUGACUAAAGAGAUAUUUGGAUGGAAACAUUAAAGUAAUGACUUUAGUGUGUUCCAUUAUGAAUGCAAAAUAUAUUGCCAUAAAGAAGUUUACAACAAUGUUGUUUGGAUGGGAAAGUUCAUUUAUGAACUCUCUAUUCGGUUCCAACCAGAAAGUGUAUGACACUAAUGGGGCGAUAGCUCAAGCCAGGGAAUCAAGGUCUCUCAUCAAGAUCCGAACUCAAAUGAGAGACUGAACCACAUGAUUGAGAAUCAUGUAU
This 753-nucleotide long non-coding RNA is filed under the name Malus domestica (apple). Its description in RNAcentral is "long non-coding RNA (MDOM_LNC000505)". The record is from RNAcentral. Lineage: Eukaryota; Viridiplantae; Streptophyta; Magnoliopsida; Rosales; Rosaceae.